UACGUAGGGGGCUAGCGUUGUCCGGAAUCAUUGGGCGUAAAGCGCGUGUAGGCGGUCCGGUAAGUCCGCUGUGAAAGUCGGGGGCUCAACCCUCGAAAGCCGGUGGAAACUGUCGGGCUAGAGUACGGAAGAGGCGAGUGGAAUUCCUGGUGUAGCGGUGAAAUUCGUAGAUAUCAGGAGGAACACCAGUGGCGAAGGCGGCUUCCUGGACACUAACUGACGCUGAGACGCGAAAGCGUGGGGAGCAAACAGG
Molecule: ribosomal RNA, 253 nt
Filed under: uncultured bacterium
Lineage: Bacteria
Description: partial 16S ribosomal RNA
Rfam family: Bacterial small subunit ribosomal RNA
Source: RNAcentral